Molecule: ribosomal RNA, 484 nt
Filed under: uncultured bacterium
Lineage: Bacteria
Description: partial 16S ribosomal RNA
Rfam family: Bacterial small subunit ribosomal RNA
Source: RNAcentral
AUUGAACGCUCGCGGCAUGCUUUACACAUGCAAGUCGAACGGCAGCGCGGGCUUCGGCCUGGCGGCGAGUGGCGAACGGGUGAGUAAUACAUCGGAACGUGCCCAGUAGUGGGGGAUAGCUCGGCGAAAGCCGGAUUAAUACCGCAUACGACCUGAGGGUGAAAACGGGGGAUCUUCGGACCUCGCGCUAUUGGAGCGGCCGAUGGCAGAUUAGCUAGUUGGUGGGGUAAAGGCCUACCAAGGCGACGAUCUGUAGCUGGUCUGAGAGGACGACCAGCCACACUGGGACUGAGACACGGCCCAGACUCCUACGGGAGGCAGCAGUGGGGAAUUUUGGACAAUGGGCGAAAGCCUGAUCCAGCAAUGCCGCGUGUGUGAUGAAGGCCUUCGGGUUGUAAAGCACUUUUGGCGGGAACGAAAAGGACUGUGCCAAUACCACGGUUCGAUGACGGUACCCGCAGAAUAAGCACCGGCUAACUACGUG